This 500-nucleotide long non-coding RNA is filed under the name Chinchilla lanigera (long-tailed chinchilla). RNAcentral's name for it is "lncRNA (ENSCLAG00000025436.1)". Lineage: Eukaryota; Metazoa; Chordata; Mammalia; Rodentia; Chinchillidae. The record is from RNAcentral.
GCAUGAUAAAAAAUGACAGAGAAGACACUGAUGAAAGUCUGCAGCUUCAUCACUUUCUUCUGUGGACCGCAUUUGUUACUACUUAUUUGCCUUUUUAUUGUCAGGUUUGUAAGUUUAAUGAGUCAACUGGCAUUUUAGAAUUUGGAAAAUUUCUGAAAUUUUUUCAUACCACACAGGACUGGAGAAAAUCUCACGAGGCUUCCCACUCCCUCAUGACGUGAUGUUCCUCAAGCACUUUCUAAUAUUUCACAGGGUAAUGGAUGGGGAAGGAGUCUGGGAGAUCUCUGCUUUUGUAUUCCCAACCAACUACUGAAAUUCAAAUCUUUCUAUGCUGGGGCACUAUGUUGCUCAUCAUUUUUAAAGUCACUCUCUUGCGACAGAAUAUAUUUUUCAUAUAGUCUCUUUUACCCCAUAUCUCACUCCUGUCUCAUUAAUAGAUGCAAUCUAUACCUUCUAUUCUUGAAUCUAGGCAGGGGCAGAGUCUUCUCUGACCAAGAAAA